CAAUGUUUACCAGAUAUUGGUCAUGGUGUUUUCUGCUUACAAUGGCUGUGUUCUGUACUAGAGAUCAGUCAUGUGGCUGUCAAGGCGAAUAUGACUGGAGCGCCUGCACCGCUUCUUGUGGUGGUGGCCUGCAGACUAGAAGAUGUAGUGACACCAGCAUCGUCACGCGGGUGUGCAACUCUCAAGCUUGUGCAAGAGUACCGGAACCUCUUGGAUUCUGGCCGCUACAGAACUC
This is a long non-coding RNA of Lingula anatina, 235 nucleotides long. The record is from RefSeq and is a predicted model, not a curated record. Lineage: Eukaryota; Metazoa; Brachiopoda; Lingulata; Lingulida; Lingulidae.